Molecule: ribosomal RNA, 537 nt
Filed under: bacterium fme09x28p130
Lineage: Bacteria
Description: bacterial SSU rRNA
Rfam family: Bacterial small subunit ribosomal RNA
Source: RNAcentral
GCUACACAUGCAGUCGAGCGGUACAGGAGAAGCUUGCUUCUCGCUGACGAGCGGCGGACGGGUGAGUAAUACUUAGGAAUCUACCUAGUAGUGGGGGAUAGCACGGGGAAACUCGUAUUAAUACCGCAUACGACCUACGGGAGAAAGGGGGCAGUUUACUGCUCUCGCUAUUAGAUGAGCCUAAGUCGGAUUAGCUAGAUGGUGGGGUAAAGGCCUACCAUGGCGACGAUCUGUAGCUGGUCUGAGAGGAUGAUCAGCCACACCGGGACUGAGACACGGCCCGGACUCCUACGGGAGGCAGCAGUGGGGAAUAUUGGACAAUGGGGGAAACCCUGAUCCAGCCAUGCCGCGUGUGUGAAGAAGGCCUUUUGGUUGUAAAGCACUUUAAGCAGUGAAGAAGACUCCAUGGUUAAUACCCAUGGACGAUGACAUUAGCUGCAGAAUAAGCACCGGCUAACUCUGUGCCAGCAGCCGCGGUAAUACAGAGGGUGCAAGCGUUAAUCGGAAUUACUGGCGUAAAGGAGCGUAGGUGGCUCU